CCGCCGCUCCAUCCCUUCGCCGCCGCCGCCGCCACCGCCGCCCCCGCCACCUCCCGUCGCGGGCAGGCGGGAGGAGCCCUGUCCGGCCAUGGCAACACCGCCGGCGGCCUCCUCCUCCCCCUCACCUUCUCUCCCUCUCCCAAAGGAGGGAAGGUAAUGGAAGGGAUCUGAUCGGAGCGGUGGAUCUGCGCCCUUGCAGUCUCUUCUUUUCUUCACGGAUUCCAGGAGGAGAUCGAAGUGGGAGGUGGACGAGCAGGAGCGCCGCGUCCGCGACAACGAUGAACGACGACCCAGGUUCUCGUCUCCCAUGGCAGGGGCCGGCGAGUGGCAACAGAUGCGGGACACCAACUGGUGGCGCAACGGACAGCGGGAGAUCGGCUGGUGGCAACGGAUGGCAGGAGGCCGCACGACCGUGCGAGGAGCAGGUAGCUGGAGGAUGUCGCCGGUGGAAAUCUGGCAAGUGGCGGCGACAUAGAGGGCUUAUGGAAUUGAAAUCUGAAGACAUGGUGAUUUUUACCCAAUGGGUUAUGCCCUUGAGCACGAAGAUCUUUUGAACUUUGAGGUUCAGGACCACGCGUGCUUCUCACAUUUAUUGAGACAGAGAGUAUUAAUCAACAGCGGUUCAAGUUUCUACAAUGAGCUAUACAUCAUCUAAACUCACAUGGAUAUACCAGUGUUUUGUAGUGUGAGGAUAAUAAGGUGAAAUGAGGCUGCUGCUCACCGGUGGCUCGCCGGCCAUCCGAGAGCCGGAAUUGCGGCCCCACGCGAGGGAAAGAUCAGCGUUGCUGCAGCCACCGCAGGACACCCACCAUGCGCGUACCAUACAGGCAGCAGCAGCCUCACUUCACCUUGGAUGACAUGACGAUUAUGAAAUAUUCAGUCAUCCCCCUUGGGUCUACCUGUUAGAAACUUGGACCUACUCAUGUGUUUGAGAUGAUUGUGCAGAAAAGAUGAAAAACGGGAUAAAAUUCUAUGUGAGAGAUGACCGCUAAAGGAGUGCGAUGCCACCAUCAUGUGCCACAAACCAUACCAAGAACGGCGGGUUAUGGAUAGAGUUCAUUUGAUCCAUCUGAUAAAAAUACCUAUUGGGGAAUAAGCAUGAAAAGUAAUCAACCACUCUUUCCGCAGUGGAGUUCGGCCAUGAUGAUCAGAAGUUUAGGACCACACUGUAGUCAAGAAAAAGGAAUGAUCUUCGUAAGCUACACCCUUUCGAUCCCAAUCUUACCUUUUUUUAAAUUAGUUUUGUUAGUGCUUCCAUUACUUCCAUUAAAAUAUGCUUAAUGGGCUAGAGACUGUACCUUUUCAGAAAGUUAUAGUGUGUGGUAUGUUUGCUGAACUUUUGAUGACAGUUCUUCAGGCAGGAUUUUCGUCCCUAUAUUUUAACUUUGAACAUCAUUAUAUUUAGACAAAUGAUGUGUUUACUGAAUUAUUGUUGUUUAAUUUUUGAAGUUAUGCCUUUCGUAAUAUUCAACUGUAGAUAGACCAAAAGAUAUAGGUAUUAAAUUUUGUGGCUCUAGCAUAGAUGUUUAUCACCACAGUGACAUUUAUUUUUCAAUUUAGAUAAGAAAAAAGAGAUAAGUAUUGAACAGAGAGUAGAGAGGAUAAGAGCAUUGUAGUUCAGCGUGGUUCAUGCCAAAGACUAUGAUACAUAUAAUUUCUUAGGAUAGUGAAAAUUCAUUGAUGAUGCAGUGGAAGUAACACAAGUUCUGCUAGAAUUUCUCUCACAUAAUAUGGAUAGAGGUGGGUUUUGCAUAAUCCAUCUCAGUAACAAGCUUGCAUUGAGUUAUUCUUUUCAAGAAGCUUACCAUGCACAACUACAGGAUACUUGUAGUUCUCAGUGGCAAUUCAUAGCUACAUUCUUCAAUGGGAGACCUAGCAUGCCUUGAGUACAACAAUACAUGAUCGUCUGGCAACAAACUGUUCAUGAUUGAUGCAUAAUAUGUCCUCUGUCCGCAUUUUAAGUAUUUAUAUUAAUAUUUCUGGUUAUCACUGCGGGAGUAGAAAUGGAUUUGAUGAGGGAAGUCUGCAAUGCAGACUGUGUUAAGUGUACCCGCUCCAGAUUUCAUCGACAGUAAAUGGUCCACUGCUAUUGGCAGGUGCCUUCUUGCACUCUUCUGACCCAGAUACGUAAGUGCAUGGCUCAAAACUCACAGAGAGGCACAACUUUGAAAUGGUUUUAUUUAAACAAUGAAACAAUGUUAUUUGACUGAAAAUCUAUAUUAUAUUUUGAUUAUGGGGACACAGCUGAAAUGUAUACACCAAGAAAACAUAACUCUUUUCAGUUGAAUUUCAAAUUCAUGUUGUGGAAAUCAAAUCCAUUUCAAAUUCCAUGAUUUCGGCUAGAAUGAUUAAUGCUACGCCGCUGCUGAUGCCAAAGGUUGUGACACUUUUUUAAUGAUAGUGCAAAUUGAUUGAUGAUGCAGCGCAAGUAGUACAAGUUCAUCAUGUCCACUGCCCAUCCAUGAAUUGUUUUACGAUUGUUUUUCCCGCUGCAAUACACGGGCACAUUGUAGGAGGAAUAUGUAUGCGUUGGUGGGUGCUGGAGGUUCCCUGCAACACCCGAGGAUCCGAUGGCGAGCCGUAGGUCGGGGAAGUCGUCAGCAUACAUAUAAGGAGAUGGAGGUGGAGGUGGCGGUGGAGGGAGACGGGCAUUCACUACUCGUCGGAGGGCGAGGGCACGGAGGACAACCGGCACGACGAUUACCACGCCUUCCUCCCGUCGAAUCACUCAAGCACGACGUCCUGGUCCUCUCUAUCCAUUGGCCCCCUCCAACAUCUACCAUGAUGACCACAUCUUGUUUGUGUAGCAGAAGCGGCGGCCAUCCAUGAUCUUCUUUUGUGCCGACCUGCUAGAAACAGGUUGGGCUAUAGACAACUAGAGAUUGGUCACCUAUCUAGCAGCUCAUUUCUGAAAACAAAGACCAGGUCUAUGUGUUCAAAAUCAUGAAGGAGGAUGUCAAAGUGUUUCUGCAGCGCAUCAGGCGGAAGAAAAAAGCAACAUGAAGUUCCCAUCUACAUCAAACUGCUUUCACUUAUAUUCUGCCAAAUUUGUUCCAUCUAUAGGACUGUACAUGGAGAUUAUCUAUAAGGGUUAUGUCCCGUGCAAGGAGAUUAUCUUAUAGGACAGGCAUAUCAGCCCCCAUUCAGACAUAGCAGAUAUUCAACAGAAGAAGUUCCUCCACUGCUACUGGCCAAACUCUAAGCAAAAAGACCUUCCACUUUCCUUGCUAAUGGUGAGCAACUCAAAGAUGGCUACAAGGUUACACUUAAUAUUUACUCUCUGAAUAACAUAUUAUUUAUUUGACCAAUACAUGUAUAAAUGCCUUGAGAGAACAUGUAUAUAUAGCUGCAUAUAUGUUAUAUCUGAACAAUGGCAGAUUUGACCAUUAAUUACAUGUAUAUACUUGCUAGGAGAGAACGUGUAUAGCUUUCAGUUAAGCUUUUCGAUCAUUAAGCUGUUGCUUUCUCAUCUUAUUUCUAGGUAGAAACAUUAUUGGUGUUCUUUAGCUUAAUUUUGAAACAUGAACACCAUCAUGUCUUCAUCGCCGAAAGUGACGUUCUUUCCCAUUAAUCUGUGCACUCGAAAACUAUUCAAAUAUAUAUUUCCACUUGGUAGUUUUCGUAUGUCCAAUGGUUUGACGGGUGUGCAUUUUCAGGAGAGUUAGCAAAUCUUUUUCCA
Long non-coding RNA from Triticum dicoccoides, 3679 nucleotides. RefSeq lists it as uncharacterized. The record is from RefSeq and is a predicted model, not a curated record. Lineage: Eukaryota; Viridiplantae; Streptophyta; Magnoliopsida; Poales; Poaceae. The transcript is spliced from 10 exons.